UACAGAGGUCCCGAGCGUUGUUCGGAUUCAUUGGGCGUAAAGGGUGCGUAGGCGGCGGGGUAAGUCGGGUGUGAAAUCUCAGGGCUUAACCCUGAAACUGCACUCGAUACUGCUCUGCUUGAGGACUGGAGAGGAGACUGGAAUUCACGGUGUAGCAGUGAAAUGCGUAGAUAUCGUGAGGAAGACCAGUGGCGAAGGCGGGUCUCUGGACAGUUCCUGACGCUGAGGCGCGAAGGCCAGGGGAGCAAACGGG
RNAcentral lists this ribosomal RNA (253 nucleotides) under uncultured bacterium. Its description in RNAcentral is "partial 16S ribosomal RNA". It matches the Rfam family "Bacterial small subunit ribosomal RNA", at positions 524 to 776 of the family's 1533-position model. The record is from RNAcentral.